RNAcentral lists this ribosomal RNA (827 nucleotides) under Dimorphiseta terrestris. RNAcentral's name for it is "eukaryotic LSU rRNA". It matches the Rfam family "Eukaryotic large subunit ribosomal RNA", at positions 74 to 935 of the family's 3401-position model. The record is from RNAcentral. Lineage: Eukaryota; Fungi; Ascomycota; Sordariomycetes; Hypocreales; Stachybotryaceae.
AUUGCCUCAGUAACGGCGAGUGAAGCGGCAACAGCUCAAAUUUGAAAUCUGGCCCCAGGCCCGAGUUGUAAUUUGCAGAGGAUGCUUUUGGCGAGGUGCCUUCCGAGUUCCCUGGAACGGGACGCCAUAGAGGGUGAGAGCCCCGUCUGGUCGGACACCGAGCCUCUGUAAAGCUCCUUCGACGAGUCGAGUAGUUUGGGAAUGCUGCUCAAAAUGGGAGGUAUAUGUCUUCUAAAGCUAAAUAUUGGCCAGAGACCGAUAGCGCACAAGUAGAGUGAUCGAAAGAUGAAAAGCACUUUGAAAAGAGAGUUAAACAGCACGUGAAAUUGUUAAAAGGGAAGCGUUUAUGACCAGACUUGGCCCGGUUGAUCAUCCAGCGUUCUCGCUGGUGCACUCUGCCGGUCCAGGCCAGCAUCAGUUCGUCGCGGGGGAUAAAGGUUUCGGGAAUGUGGCUCCUCCGGGAGUGUUAUAGCCCGUUGCGUAAUACCCUGCGGUGGACUGAGGUCCGCGCUUCUGCAAGGAUGCUGGCGUAAUGGUCAUCAACGACCCGUCUUGAAACACGGACCAAGGAGUCGUCUUCGUAUGCGAGUGUUCGGGUGUAAAACCCCUACGCGUAAUGAAAGUGAACGCAGGUGAGAGCUUCGGCGCAUCAUCGACCGAUCCUGAUGUUCUCGGAUGGAUUUGAGUAAGAGCAUACGGGGCCGGACCCGAAAGAAGGUGAACUAUGCCUGUAUAGGGUGAAGCCAGAGGAAACUCUGGUGGAGGCUCGCAGCGGUUCUGACGUGCAAAUCGAUCGUCAAAUAUGGGCAUGGGGGCGAAAGACUAAU